UGCACGUUUAUAUAUUCGUGCUGUGAGCUGUCAAAUUUUGGCUGUAUGUGCAUUACACUGUAUAAAUUUACAUAAAAUGCUCUAUAAUUUACAUUUGUUACUCUCUUUUCGUUUCUUUUGAAACACUCGGGGAACACCUACGGCGCCUUUUGUUUUCGGAAUUUUCAGAUUUCGAUUUUCGUUUCAUAUUUCGAUGACUUUAUCAUUCCAUAGUCUAUCAAGAUAUGACAGUCUGGAAACUAAACAGAACUCGUUGCAUUGUGUUAUGUUUUCGUCUUUUGCAAAAUUUGUUAAUCUGUGCACGAUCACGGUGAUUGAGAUCAUUGUAUUUUCGUAUAACGGAACAAUAGUCCAAUAGGGAUAGGCGGAUAGUUGAGAUGAAACGUGCAUAAUAUUUAAUGAAGUUGAGACAAAGGAUUCGUGCACGGUGAGAUACAGUAACUCAGUGGCGUGCUGGCAGGGGGGCGGGGGGCCACGCCCCCCCCCCCAACUGGCAAUUCUUGGGGGGCGCUAAAAUGAAAAAGGGGCGCCGAUCCCGUGCCGAAUUUCGAAAGUGGGUGGGAAAAAACGCAUUAGAAAAAAUAUAGUAACUUCCGCCAAGAAAAGAUCUGUUUAUAGGCUUAUCAAACAUACUUAGGCCGUUAGGCGACAAAGUGAUAUAAUAAAUUCACGGUGGCCGUAGAAGACACGAAAUUCGGCAAGGAUCGAAUAACUUUCGGUCAUUAGUUCGGAAUAUCACGAAACUUCCUCACAGGAUGGAA
Molecule: non-coding RNA, 761 nt
Organism: Paramuricea clavata
Lineage: Eukaryota; Metazoa; Cnidaria; Anthozoa; Malacalcyonacea; Plexauridae
Source: the annotation of a GenBank genome assembly